Eleginops maclovinus (Patagonian blennie) is the source of this 1339-nucleotide long non-coding RNA. RefSeq lists it as uncharacterized. The record is from RefSeq and is a predicted model, not a curated record. Lineage: Eukaryota; Metazoa; Chordata; Actinopteri; Perciformes; Eleginopidae. The transcript has 2 exons.
CUGGAAGGGCGGAGCCAAGCAAUCUACAAAGCCAGCCAGCUCACCUGUGGCCAAUCCUAUUCCCUGGAAAAGAAGCUUGCCUCAUGUGGACUCCUCACACUCCAUUGUUUGUCUGCGUGAAAGAUCUCAGAGGCCAGAAGUCUGGGCCGCCAUGCCAGUCCUAAUAAAUCCUGGGCUGAGAGUGGCGGCGGCAGCAGCAGGGCUGCAUUCUUCAGCAGCCAGCACUUCCCCUAAUCUGCCCCGGAGAUGGAGCAACAGUUGGCCUGGCUGGUGGGGAAGGGAGAGGAGAAGAGGGGGGGGAAGGAGGAGGAUGGUGGGGGCUCCCUGGUGACACAAGCAUGAUGUGUUUGUAAAAACACAGGGAAUGUUGGAAUUGGAUACACUAACACUCCAGCCCUCCCUUAAGCGGGCUUGUGUAGAGACUGAUUUUGACAGAUAUGUUCAUUUUCUCAGCGACAAACACAAAACAUUACCUUACCUGCCACACUUGGUUUUUUCUUGCUUUCAUCCCUCUGGUGUGUGCUUGUGUAGGAGAAAGCAAAACCAAGAAAACAGAGGAAGAAACUAAGAGGCACAUGACUAGGAAAUGUAUUACAGAUGUGUGCAGCUAUGUAGCCACUUGUGGAAGCCAAAACAUUUUUUGUUGCCGCUAAGAAGAACAUAAUUCCAUGUCAUAAAGGGUUGAAAAGUUUGAUAUGCAACAUAGAACAGUUAAAAUGUGUUUUUGAGUGCAUGCCAUUAGCUGACUGCAUAGGUGAUUAGCAGACUGAUUGUGCGACAUACUCUGGUCAAUAGGCAACGUUUUAUCCCGUUAUACAGCUGACACAGCCUGUGCGUUCUUUAGAGGAGAUCAGACCCCCAGGAAUGAAUUCCUCUCUGCUGGUCUCUAGUUUCAAUUGAUUGCUUUAAUUUGGCCUAUAAUGAGUAGGAUGCCUCCUGCCUGCAAUUAGUAUUUGUGUGUGUGACUGUGUGUACUUGUGGGCUGUGUUUAAUUACUGCAGUGGAUGGAUGCUGUGGCCCAGAAGGAGCCUGCAGAAUGGGAGGUUCUACUGACACCUCUACCCACUGUGUGAUGAUUCCAAAUUUCUAAUAAAGAUCCUGUAUCUGUUAAUGUGAUUAUGUGCUCAAUUUUGAGUGCAAGUGAUAAAACAGGAGGGAAUUUAUAGACACCAACAAUGAUACAUUUGUAAAAACCUACAUCCAGAUGGUCGGCUACCAAAGGAGCCCAUGUCCUCAGCAUUAUGAAAACAAAAUUCCCCACCCAUACAACCUCCGUCUGUGUUUCAUUUGUCUCCGUAUCCCUCUGUUUUUAUUUAAUAAAAUCAUGUUUGCUCAUCAG